GGCAGCUCUGCAGCUCCACGUUUGUUCCUGAACAUGUUCUCCUGUCACGUUUGGUUCCUGCUCUCAGGUCUGAUCGGCUGCACGGGAAACUCCACAGGUCGGGACUACACGGUGUCCGCGGGCCGGACGCUGCUGCUCCCCUGCAGCGGCUCCUCCAAACCCAAACAGAGGUGGUUCCAGCAGAGGGAGGGCGAGAGGCGGGAGGCCGUCCUCACCAAGUACAGAAACGGUACGGUGAAACCAGAAAGGGGCGGCGGCCGGCUGAGCUUCACCAACGACGCCCUGCAGAUCCAGGACCUGCAGCCAGAGGACGCUGGAGAGUACGUCUGCAACGGGCUGCUGCAGGCCAGAGUCACGGUCCUCGCAGCACACGCAGAGACGAGCAGCCAGCCUCCGUCCACCAGCACACCUCCAUCACCUGCAGUGGUGACAGCCGCAGCACCGACACGUGAAGACACAGAGCUGCAGCCG
This is a long non-coding RNA of Astatotilapia calliptera (eastern happy), 471 nucleotides long. The record is from Ensembl. Lineage: Eukaryota; Metazoa; Chordata; Actinopteri; Cichliformes; Cichlidae.